AUUGAACGCUGGCGGCAGGCCUAACACAUGCAAGUCGAACGGCAACACGAUGAGGCUUUCUUCUUUCCUGUCGCGAGGCGGGCGGGGGUGAGGAGUCCGUGGGACUGUCCUAUUUCGUGGGAGAACUACUAGAGACGGUAGCUAAAAUCCCAUAACGUAGCUACGGCAAAAAGGAGGGGCUUUUCGGCCCUUGCCCUCGUAAAUGCCCCGAUGUGGGAUUAGCUAGUUGGUGGGGUAAAGGCACACCAAGGCGACGAUCCGUAGCUGGUCUGAGAGGAUGACCAGCCACACUGGAACUGAGACACGGUCCAGACUCCUACGGGAGGCAGCAGUGGGGAAUAUUGGACAAUGGGCGCAAGCCUGAUGCAGCCAUACCGCGUGGGUGAAGAAGGCCUUCGGGUUGUAAAGCACUUUUGGUGGGAAAGAAAAGAAGAAGGUUAAUACCCCGGUGUAUUGACGGUACCCAAAGAAGAAGCACCGGCUAACUUCGUG
RNAcentral lists this ribosomal RNA (492 nucleotides) under uncultured bacterium. RNAcentral's name for it is "partial 16S ribosomal RNA". It matches the Rfam family "Bacterial small subunit ribosomal RNA", at positions 30 to 507 of the family's 1533-position model. The record is from RNAcentral.